Helianthus annuus (common sunflower) is the source of this 1683-nucleotide long non-coding RNA. RefSeq lists it as uncharacterized. Lineage: Eukaryota; Viridiplantae; Streptophyta; Magnoliopsida; Asterales; Asteraceae. The transcript is spliced from 6 exons. The record is from RefSeq and is a predicted model, not a curated record.
CAAUUUUCCUCUUCCUCAAAACCCCCAAAAUUCCCCACAUAGCUGAAACAAAUUCAACCCCACCAACUCACUAAGUUCAGUGCGAAUCCUUUGCCCUGGUUCCGAUCUACACAGUAUCUCCGCCACAACCACUACCAAUUCCAACUUCCACAAAACCCUAACCAAUUUUGGUUACCAUCAAACCCUAACGAUGAUGCGACGCAAGGAGAAGCGCAUGAUUUUUAGUUCGUACCUGCAACGUGCUUGUAAAAUCUCUGAUGGAAUCGAGAAGAAGAGGAGUAAAAUCUCAAUCGAGUUCGUUGGCUUCUGAUUCAUGGAGAUUUGGGGUCGGAUUCGCUGGCUUCUGAUUCACUGGCUUUAAGGAGAAGCACAUGAUUUUGAGUACGUAUCUUCAAUCUAUUUAUGCUUUCUUUACGAUUACUAAUUUUCAAAUCCAUUUUGUUUGUAAGUUAUGGAUAUAGAUCCCUAUUCCAUGCUGUAUAAAAAUGAAUUCUUUGAUACCGGAUUUUUUUUUGUUAAAAAUCAACUUUUUUUUUGUUUCAAUUAGUCAAAGUGUUAUUUUAUACGAGGAUAAUGUAAUAUGUUUAUCCUCUAAAUGGAUCACAAUGGUCAAUAGUGGAUUCUUCAAUCGUUGAGAUCGAUGUUCUCUAUGUUCAUGGCUUUCUUGCCUUCAUAGAGGUCAUUGUCAGAGCUACAGCAGUCAUACCUGGUCGCUCUCCGUGACAAGCCAUGUUUGCCGCCACCAAAGACGUAGACAAUCAUACCGUCACAAACCCUACUCUGCGCACCGAAGACUACCGCCACCACAAUGAUCAGAACAUCGUCGUCGAAUGUUGUUGAUGCCGACGAGCAGGUUGUAACACCAUCGGACGGUCGUCAUCGGCCUCCCUCUGCGCUCUCUCUCUGUCGCUCACAACUUUCUCUCUCUAACAGGUUCCAUUAUUUCUACAACUGUUAAAGAAAAUGCAGGAUUCUUCUCAUCCUUUCUACCCUCAGAGUCUGAGAGAGAGACAGAGGGUGCAAGAAACGGAGACUCAAGUUAUCGGCCAGCCACCACCUCUGGUGGCGGAGACAAGGCGGAUCUUUAGCGGCAUCUUCGAGUGUUGUACCCCUACCUACAGAACAAAAGACAUAAAGUGCCCGGUGAGGUGGCAUGGGCUAGGGUUCUGACGGCACUCCAGUUAACUCCGGCAAUAAUUCAGGACUCUGAUGAAUCUCAGGCGACUUCUCCGGUUAACGAUCUGGGUUGGCAUGUUAUUUAACCUUAAAGAUCGGUGGAUGACCCGUAUCAUGACAGGUGGAUGGGGAAGGCGGUUGCUGCAACCUAUAUGGCUAAUAAGUUGGUUUGUGACAUGGCUACAAUAUAUUGGAGGUGAUGGUUUCGUUGAUGGGCUAAGAGACAUUAGAACUGGCUACGAGUUACAGUUUACUCACUACCAUAGAAACAAGGUCGACACUAGCCCAUGGAUGAAAAUUUGCAAUACUUUCAAGUCCAAAAGCAGUGAAUAUAUACGGACUUGAAGAAAACAACCUAGAAAUAGCUAUUAGUUUUUGUGUACAUUUGUUUCUCUUUGCAACUUUUGUAGAUAGAUUUUGCUUAGAAGUUUAUGUCUUCUAUUAGUAUUUAAAUUGAAAACUUAUCUAUGGUUUUUUGGUUAUUAUUGUUAAUAUCAUUUGUUUUAU